RNAcentral lists this ribosomal RNA (350 nucleotides) under uncultured bacterium. RNAcentral describes it as "bacterial SSU rRNA". It matches the Rfam family "Bacterial small subunit ribosomal RNA", at positions 355 to 723 of the family's 1533-position model. The record is from RNAcentral.
UAGGGAAUAUUGGACAAUGGGGGAAACCCUGAUCCAGCAAUGCAGCGUGAGUGACGAAGGCCUUAGGGUUGUAAAACUCUUUCAUCGGUGAGGAUAAUGACAGUAGCCGAAGAAGAAGGACCGGCUAAUUCCGUGCCAGCAGCCGCGGUAAUACGGAAGGUCCUAGCGUUGUUCGGAAUUACUGGGCGUAAAGCGCAUGUAGGCGGAACAAAAGUUAGAAGUGAAAUCCCUGGGCUCAACCUAGGAAUUGCUUUUAAAACUUUUGUUCUGGAAUUCAGGAGAGGAAAAUGGAAUUUCCAGUGUAGAGGUGAAAUUCGUAGAUAUUGGAAGGAACACCAGUGGCGAAGGCG